UACGGAGGGUGCAAGCGUUUCUCGGAAUUAUUGGGCGUAAAGGGUAGGUAGGUGGUCUUAUUUGUCUGGGGUGAAAGCCUUGAGCUUAACUCAAGAAGUGCCUCAGAAACGGUAAGACUGGAGUCCUGGAGAGGGUCGUGGAAUUCCCGGUGUAGCGGUGAAAUGCGUAGAGAUCGGGAGGAACACCAGAGGCGAAAGCGGCGACCUGGACAGGCACUGACACUCAACUACGAAAGCGUGGGGAGCAAACAGG
RNAcentral lists this ribosomal RNA (253 nucleotides) under uncultured bacterium. Its description in RNAcentral is "partial 16S ribosomal RNA". It matches the Rfam family "Bacterial small subunit ribosomal RNA", at positions 524 to 776 of the family's 1533-position model. The record is from RNAcentral.